GGUUAGUUAGCUAGCUGUGGUUGAAAUAGGCGAGUCUAGCUUAGGGGUGUGUUUGGUUAGUUAGCUAGCUGUGGUUGAAAUAGGCGAGUCUAGCUUAGGGGUGUGUUUGGUUAGUUAGUUAGCUGUGGUUGAAAUAGGCGAGUCUAGCUUAGGGGUGUGUUUGGUUAGUUAGCUAGCUGUGGUUGAAAUAGGCGAGUCUAGCUUAGGGGUGUGUUUGGUUAGUUAGCUAGCUGUGGUUGAAAUAGGCGAGUCUAGCUUAGGGGUGUUUUUGGUUAGUUAGCUAGCUGUGGUUGAAAUAGGCGAGUCUAGCUUAGGGGUGUUUUUGGUUAGUUAGCUAGCUGUGGUUGAAAUAGGCGAGUCUAGCUUAGGGGUGUGUUUGGUUAGUUAGCUAGCUGUGGUUGAAAUAGGCGAGUCUAGCUUAGGGGUGUGUUUGGUUAGUUAGCUAGCUGUGGUUGAAAUAGGCGAGUCUAGCUUAGGGGUGUGUUUGGUUAGUUAGCUAGCUGUGGUUGAAAUAGGCGAGUCUAGCUUAGGGGUGUGUUUGGUUAGUUAGCUGUGGUUGAAAUAGGCGAGUCUAGCUUAGGGGUGUGUUUGGUUAGUUAGCUGUGGUUGAAAUAGGUGAGUCUAGCUUAGGGGUGUGUUUGGUUAGUUAGCUGUGGUUGAAAUAGGUGAGUCUAGCUUAGGGGUGUUUUUGGUUAGUUAGCUAGCUGUGGUUGAAAUAGGUGAGUCUAGCUUAGGGGUGUGUUUGGUUAGUUAGCUAGCUGUGGUUGAAAUAGGCUAGUCUAGC
This is a long non-coding RNA of Oncorhynchus keta (chum salmon), 784 nucleotides long. RefSeq lists it as uncharacterized. Lineage: Eukaryota; Metazoa; Chordata; Actinopteri; Salmoniformes; Salmonidae. The transcript is spliced from 3 exons. The record is from RefSeq and is a predicted model, not a curated record.